This 707-nucleotide long non-coding RNA is filed under the name Marmota monax (woodchuck). Lineage: Eukaryota; Metazoa; Chordata; Mammalia; Rodentia; Sciuridae. The record is from RNAcentral.
GGGAGGGUCAACUACAGAUUGGCUUUGGCUGCGUUACUCUAAGCCUGCGACUGAACAGCUGGGCCCAUGCCUGGCUCUCUUGUUCACGCUUGACUCUACAAAUGUCUAGUGCUGGCUUAAAACUGGCAUGUGAUGAGAAAUAACUCAGUUGAUUUGACCAUUUGAAUCAUCCCGAAAGCAAGGGGGCACAGUAGAGCACCCCACCUCCUGUUUCCCCAAACCUCGCCAAACAAAGGGAACAAGGAGGGCAAGUCUGGGCCCACGCGUUCAGGUACAUUUUACCUUGAAGCACUCUGGCUGUCUUUUAUGCACACUGGGAACUUGGACAAGUUGGUAUUUUCUGUAGAAAGCUACUUUCUUGUAAGUGAACCAAGACAGUUGUUCCUUGGGAUGUUGGUCAGAUAAGGAAACUAAGCAAAUGAAUGGUAAUGACAUCACUGCUUCUGCAGCCUAACAUAUAAAGUCCCUUUCUGAGCGGGGACUGGCGUGGAACUGAGGGCGCUGUGGAAAGGAUAUAUGUCACUUGUCCAGCUGUCACCUCUGGACACCCUGUUUUCACCCUGUUGCCCCUGAACUCUUCUUGGAGCUGCCACUGAUCUCUCCCAAGCUUUCCUUCACCAAUAAACCACGCCUCUCAUGCUGUCUCUAGGUAGUUUCUCUGGCUUGUCUGCAACCUCGCCCACCAGCCUGGCACAACAGAGCUGUGG